CUAAGUACGUAAGGUUGACUAAGAAUUUCCUGUUUCUUAUAAAAUUUUAAUAUAACUAAUUGUUGAUUUUUUUUUUCUAGUAACUCUGGGUGGAUUUUAACUACAACUCUUGUCCUCUCGGUGAUGGUAUUGCUUUGGAUUUGUUGUGCAACUGUUGCUACAGCUGUGGAGCAGUAUGUUCCCUCUGAGAAGCUAAGUAUCUAUGGUGACUUGGAGUUUAUGAAUGAACAAAAGCUAAACAGAUAUCCAGCUUCUUCUCUUGUGGUUGUUAGAUCUAAAACUGAAGAUCAUGAAGAAGCAGGGCCUCUACCUACAAAAGUGAAUCUUGCUCAUUCUGAAAUUUAAGCAUUUUUCUUUUAAAAGAAAAGUGUAAUAGACAUCUAAAAUUCCACUCCUCAUAGAGCUUUUAAAAUGGUUUCAUUGGGUAUAGGCCUUAAGAAAUCACUAUAAAAUGCAAAUAAAGUUACUCAAACCUG
Molecule: small RNA, 476 nt
Filed under: Pongo abelii (Sumatran orangutan)
Lineage: Eukaryota; Metazoa; Chordata; Mammalia; Primates; Hominidae
Description: processed transcript
Source: RNAcentral